RNAcentral lists this long non-coding RNA (1369 nucleotides) under Musa acuminata (dwarf banana). RNAcentral describes it as "long non-coding RNA (MACU_LNC002918)". The record is from RNAcentral. Lineage: Eukaryota; Viridiplantae; Streptophyta; Magnoliopsida; Zingiberales; Musaceae.
UCAAAGCUAAAAUAGACAUUGGCAUGUGUUAAAUUUAUUGAAACUACUGUGUUACUCACCCUGUUUUUUCAUUUUGUAUGUCUAUAUUACUGUAUAAUGCUCUUGAUCCCUUCUGAAGCACAUGCUGGCUCUCCGAGGCAGUGAUUGCAAAAGGCGCUCGGGCGCUCGCCUAGGCGCUCGGGCGAGGCGAGGCGAGGCCCGAGCGCCUCGCUAAUGUCCCAGGUGGCGCGCUUCAAUCAGGCGCCGCCUGGGCGCUCGCCCGAGCCCAGGCGCUGGGCGCUUCAGGCGAGCGCCUGGGUAAACCGAACCAGAAUUUUAGGUCUGGUUCGGUCCUGGUUCGGUUGUUAGUUGGUUCAAUCGAACCAACUAAACCGAUAUAACCCCAACCCUAACCCUAACCCUAACCCAACACUAACCUGUUGCCGAUCCCGAUCCCGAUCGCGAUUUCGUCGCUCGCUGCCGCUGCCGCUGUCGCUGCUCGCGCCUCCCGCGAGCCUUCCCGCUGCUCGCGCCUCCCGCAAGCCCUCUCGUUGCUCGCGCCUCCUGCGAGCCCUCCUACUGCUCGCGCCUCCCGCGAGCCCUCUCGCUGCUCGCGUCUCCUGCGAGCCCUCCCGCGAGCCUUNNNNNNNNNNNNNNNNNNNNCCGCUGCUCGCGCCUCCCGCGAGCCCUCUCGCCUCCUGCGAGCCCUCCCGCGAAGCCUUCCCGCUGCUCGCGCCUUCCUCUCCCUUUCCCUUUCCCGCUGUCGCUGCCGCCGCUCGCCGCCACUGCUGCCGUCGCUGCUGCUGCCGCCGCUCGCCGCUGCUUCCUCGUUUCUCCGUCAGCAGGUUUAUAUUGUUAAUGUGAUUAUAUUUAUUAAUUAUAUUAUAUAUUUUUUAUAUUUUUAUUUAAAAUUUUAAAUAAUUAUAUUUAUUAAUUAUAUUUUAUAUUUUUAUAUUUUAGCGCCUCGCUUCGCUCGGGCGAGCGCCUCGGGCGUUUUUGGACCUUGGCGCCUUUUGGCGCCUAGCGCUUUUUAAAUCACUGCUCCGAGGAAUAUAUGGAUUUCUCUCUUUCCAAUCAAAUAGUGUGAAGGAGCUCUUGGGAUUUAUUUUCUUCCAUUUGCAUGGCACACUUGAUUUAGAAGCUCAGAAAUUAAAAUUUAUUAUAACUUGAAACAUGUCUGUUCUAAUUCAAUAUUUGUGGUAUUUUUUAGGUUAGGAUGCAUGUUUCUUUUGAAUAUAUAUAAAAUCAAAUUCAAUUAGAAAAUAGGUUAGCUGCAUAGCACAUUCCAAACUUGUACAGCAUAGUCUCUUUAUGAUGGACCUGACAUCACACACGAGUUGUAUCUGCUGCUAGUUGGUAAAAGCAGCAAUUCAUAUGUUCGUAAAAAAGC